UUCUGCCUACGGGGGGCAGCAGUGAGGAAUAUUGGUCAAUGGGCGAGAGCCUGAACCAGCCAAGUCGCGUGAAGGAUGACGGCCCUACGGGUUGUAAACUUCUUUUGUCAGGGAGCAAUUGGGUCCACGCGUGGGCUUAGCGAGAGUACCUGAAGAAAAAGCAUCGGCUAACUCCGUGCCAGCAGCCGCGGUAAUACGGAGGAUCCGAGCGUUAUCCGGAUUUAUUGGGUUUAAAGGGAGCGUAGGUGGAUUGUUAAGUCAGUUGUGAAAGUUUGCGGCUCAACCGUAAAAUUGCAGUUGAAACU
RNAcentral lists this ribosomal RNA (305 nucleotides) under uncultured bacterium. RNAcentral describes it as "bacterial SSU rRNA". It matches the Rfam family "Bacterial small subunit ribosomal RNA", at positions 333 to 634 of the family's 1533-position model. The record is from RNAcentral.